AUGUCAUUUUCCCAACCCAGGUUGUAUUUGCUUACACUCCAAGUUCAAAGUUAAAACUUGAAACACAGCGAUCAGACCAUUACCAAUUCGACGAUUACCCUCUGUCCGUCAAUCUCGCACCAAAAAGCUAGGGUUUGAGUCUCUUAAUUUCUCUGUGAAAAGUACCCUUUCAUCACCGGGCACCAUGAACUGCGAAGUUUGCCAACUCAAAGAAUUGGAAGUGGAGCACUACGAGAUACGGGAAGUUCUACGCUCGUUGAAGGAUGUGAUGUCUAACCAGAAUAAAAUAUUCAUUUGGUGCAUGCUACACACGAUAGUGUUUCAUCGGGCUUUAGGUCUAGUGCGUCCCAAAGAUAUUGAUUUGGAACUCUUUGAUAUUACAUAUGUGCAAUGUGGAGAUGUGGACCUUGAAAAGAAACUAGAAGAGAAGAUUGAGCAGUUCAUCGGUUGGGUAGAGAAACACCCAAACAAAAAAAGUCAGAUAUGCUUAUCUUUCUAUGAGGUGAAAAACAAACCGCCUUCUUGGUUCAAUAAAAUUGAACGCCUAUAUUGGGAACAAUGGUAUGUCAAUUUGAAUGUGGCCCAACACCCCAAAGCACAUUCUAGCAAGUCUCAUCAUUCCAAAGUUGUACUUGCUCCAGGAGAGAGUGCAGUGGAGGAGACGAAUGCUCGCAGAGCAGCACUUGAAGAAUCUCUCCGCGAGGUAUUGUUUCAAAUCAUAAAAUUUGUGAAUGAGAAGAAGGAUCAUGUUCCUCCCAUACCAAAUCUUGAAGGUGUUGCCUGUUUUCCCUAUGAAAUCACUAUCCCAAGAUAGUUUUAUUCCGACAAUGAGGAGGGUAGGGCUAAGAUAUUAUUUUGAAGGCGUGAAUUGGUGAUCAUGGGUGAGGACAUCAAGGAAGCAGAGUGACUGUGGGAACCUUUAAUGUUUCAAACUAAAGAACUUAAUGUAUCAUAGUUCGUCAGAUUCUACAUUUGGAAUGGACAUGAUCAAGAGGAUGCUCCAAACUGGGCAUCCAACCAUGCUCAGCUGAUUAUCAAAGUUAACGAGCUAUAGCACGUAUUCCCUUCAUGUGCCAGUAGGAUGGAUUCUGACGUUCAUGAUGUCUCAAAACAUGUACAUGUGAAGUGGUUGCAAGAAGCUUCUCUAUCCAGAAAAGUUUCGCGGCUCUGAACAAGAAGCGAAUCUUUGGUGCUCUUAAUGGUUUGUAAUUAUUUUCCCAGAAUUAACCCACUUUUCCCAUUUGCUUUCCCAUUUCUUAUAGUUUAUUUUUAUGUACUGAAAUGAUACCAGUUUGAUCAAACCAGGACCAUAGAGGUUGUCACAUAUUAUGGGCAAAUUAAGGGUUUGCUGUAUAAUUCGAGACAUUUUUCUUUUCUGUAAAUUUUCAUCUGCAUGGUUUUUCU
This is an RNA transcript of Juglans regia (Persian walnut), 1404 nucleotides long. It is a transcript of the gene named autophagy-related protein 101-like, with no coding region annotated. The record is from RefSeq and is a predicted model, not a curated record. The transcript is spliced from 9 exons. NCBI's taxonomy places the organism in Eukaryota, Viridiplantae, Streptophyta, Magnoliopsida, Fagales, Juglandaceae.